UACGGAGGGGGCAAGCGUUGUUCGGAGUUACUGGGCGUAAAGCGCGCGUAGGCGGUGCGGUAAGUCAGGGGUUAAAGGCUGCAGCUCAACUGCAGUAAGGCCUUUGAUACUAUCGCGCUAGAGUACCAGAGAGGAUGGCGGAAUUCCCUGUGUAGCGGUGAAAUGCGUAGAUAUAGGGAGGAACACCGGUUGCGAAGGCGGCUACCUGGCCGGUAACUGACGCUGAGGUGCGAGAGCGUGGGGAGCAAACAGG
Molecule: ribosomal RNA, 253 nt
Filed under: uncultured microorganism
Description: partial 16S ribosomal RNA
Rfam family: Bacterial small subunit ribosomal RNA
Source: RNAcentral